UUGGAGGGCAAGUCUGGUGCCAGCAGCCGCGGUAAUUCCAGCUCCAAUAGCGUAUAUUAAAGUUGUUGCAGUUAAAAAGCUCGUAGUUGAAUUUCGGGAUCGACGGGUCGGUCGCGCCUCUGGUGUGUACUGGCCCUGUCGGUUUCUCCCUUCUGACGAACCACGAUGUCAUUAAUUUGGUGUCGUGGGGAAUCAGGACUGUUACUUUGAAAAAAUUAGAGUGUUUAAAGCAAGCAUUCGCUUGAAUACAUUAGCAUGGAAUAAUGAAAUAGGACGUUUGAUCUUAUUUUGUUGGUUUCUAAGAUCGACGUAAUGAUUAAUAGGGAUAGUUGGGGGCAUUAGUAUUCAAUUGUCAGAGGUGAAAUUCUUGGAUUUAUUGAAGACUAACUACUGCGAAAGCAUUUGCCAAGGAUGUUUUCAUUAAUCAAGAACGAAAGUUAGGGGAUCGAAGACGAUCAGAUACCGUCGUAGUCUUAACCAUAAACUAUGCCGACUAGGAAUCAGACGAUGUUAAUUUUUUAAUGACUCGUUUGGCACCUUACGGGAAAC
Molecule: ribosomal RNA, 549 nt
Filed under: uncultured Glomus
Lineage: Eukaryota; Fungi; Glomeromycota; Glomeromycetes; Glomerales; Glomeraceae
Description: SSU rRNA
Rfam family: Eukaryotic small subunit ribosomal RNA
Source: RNAcentral